AUUGAACGCUGGCGGCAGGCCUAACACAUGCAAGUCGAGCGGAUGAGUGGAGCUUGCUCCAUGAUUCAGCGGCGGACGGGUGAGUAAUGCCUAGGAAUCUGCCUGGUAGUGGGGGACAACGUUUCGAAAGGAACGCUAAUACCGCAUACGUCCUACGGGAGAAAGCAGGGGACCUUCGGGCCUUGCGCUAUCAGAUGAGCCUAGGUCGGAUUAGCUAGUAGGUGAGGUAAUGGCUCACCUAGGCGACGAUCCGUAACUGGUCUGAGAGGAUGAUCAGUCACACUGGAACUGAGACACGGUCCAGACUCCUACGGGAGGCAGCAGUGGGGAAUAUUGGACAAUGGGCGAAAGCCUGAUCCAGCCAUGCCGCGUGUGAGAAGAAGGUCUUCGGAUUGUAAAGCACUUUAAGUUGGGAGGAAGGGCAGUAAGUUAAUACCUUGUUGUUUUGACGUUACCAACAGAAUAAGCACCGGCUAACUUCGUGCCAGCAGCCGCGGUAA
This 500-nucleotide ribosomal RNA is filed under the name uncultured bacterium. RNAcentral's name for it is "partial 16S ribosomal RNA". It matches the Rfam family "Bacterial small subunit ribosomal RNA", at positions 30 to 523 of the family's 1533-position model. The record is from RNAcentral.